GUGAAGAGACAUGAGAGGUGUAGCAUAAGUGGGAGCCCGCGUCAAACCGGGCGCCGGUGAAAUACCACUACUCUUAUCGUUUCUUUACUUAUUCAGUGAAGCGGAGUCGGGGUCCGCAAGGCCCUCGUUUCUGGUGUCGAAGCGCCCGCACGGCGGUCGUCUCGCUCGCGCGGGGCGGCCGUCGGGCGCGAUCCGCUCUGAAGACAGUGUCAGGCGGGGAGUUUGACUGGGGCGGUACAUCUGUCAAAAGGUACGCAGGUGUCCUAAGGUGAGCUCGGCGAGGACGGAAACCUCGCGUGGAGCAAAAGGGCAAAAGCUCACUUGAUUCUGAUUUUCAGUACGAAUACGGACCGUGAAAGCGUGGCCUAUCGAUCCUUUUGCUCGUUGAGAGUUUCAAGCAAGAGGUGUCAGAAAAGUUACCACAGGGAUAACUGGCUUGUGGCAGCCAAGCGUUCAUAGCGACGUUGCUUUUUGAUCUUCGAUGUCGGCUCUUCCUAUCAUUGUGAAGCAGAAUUCACCAAGUCGG
This 526-nucleotide ribosomal RNA is filed under the name uncultured eukaryote. Its description in RNAcentral is "eukaryotic LSU rRNA". It matches the Rfam family "Eukaryotic large subunit ribosomal RNA", at positions 2441 to 2927 of the family's 3401-position model. The record is from RNAcentral.